AUCCUUCUGUGGUUCAUAAGAGUGAGAUUGGGGGUUCAAGCCGUAGUGUGGCAUGUGCCUUUCUCAAACCUUAUUACAACCUUGGCACGUUACCUGCCUGCUG
Molecule: small nucleolar RNA, 103 nt
Filed under: Ursus thibetanus thibetanus
Lineage: Eukaryota; Metazoa; Chordata; Mammalia; Carnivora; Ursidae
Description: Small nucleolar RNA U13 (ENSUTTG00000002331.1)
Rfam family: Small nucleolar RNA U13
Source: RNAcentral